UGGUCACUGAGGACCCUAAGUCUUACAUGAGU
This 32-nucleotide non-coding RNA is filed under the name Homo sapiens (human). The record is from RNAcentral. Lineage: Eukaryota; Metazoa; Chordata; Mammalia; Primates; Hominidae.